CAGAACCCCUCCGGGGCGGGAGAGAGGCCAUGGGACAGUGGAGGCAGAGAUUGGAGACGUACUGCCAUGAGCCAAGGGAUCCCAAAGAUUGCCAGAAGCCACCAGAGGCAGGAAGAAGAAAGGAUUCUCCCCUAGAGGCUCCAGGGGCAACGUGGGCCUGCCGACAUGUCGAUUUCAGGCCCCUGCCUCCAGAAUAUGACAGAACACCUGUCCGUUGUUGCAAGGCCCCCGGUGUGUGGCACCUACAAGUAGCAGAUUUUUUAUCAGAAGCUCCAGAGAGGCAACCCUUCUAACAACCCAGAGGAGAGGAGCUUCCAGACUGCCCGGACGCUGGAGGAAGGUGCCCUGGAGGACAGCAGGGAGGCAGAGGCAGGGAGAAGGUGUGAAGAUGUUGUCCUCGCCUCCAAAUCUGAUCAACAUGUCUUCUGUUUCACGGGAGAUGAGCGGACAGAGGAAAACGAACCAUCAGGAUCACCUUCGGUGCGAUGCACCAGCCCUCAGCCCCGAGGUGGAAGAGGACGAAGUUCUGGGGAACGUGAUGCGCAGCGUGGAGGCUGUGGCUCGUGACCCGGAAUUGUAUUCCUUGCAUUCGCUGACAGUGGAUUUCGUGUGCUCUCACCACACGCACGCAC
Molecule: long non-coding RNA, 632 nt
Organism: Prionailurus viverrinus (fishing cat)
Lineage: Eukaryota; Metazoa; Chordata; Mammalia; Carnivora; Felidae
Exons: 4
Source: RefSeq, a predicted model, not a curated record